Molecule: long non-coding RNA, 288 nt
Organism: Vespa mandarinia (Asian giant hornet)
Lineage: Eukaryota; Metazoa; Arthropoda; Insecta; Hymenoptera; Vespidae
Source: RefSeq, a predicted model, not a curated record
UUUUUUGGUCGACACUGAAUCGUUAGUUUCAUCAUUGAAGAUCGUUAUCUUCGAAUGAAAAAAACUACGUUUCGUAAUGCAGCUUAUAUCCUACAAAAUUCUUAGUUAUAUAUAUGUAUAUACAUAUAUAAUAAACACGGAACACGUUUAUAGUGAUUUACCAGAAGAUUAUUUUCAUAUUUAACGUUAGACAAUGCUCGCGAAGUGAUUAGUUUAAUCAAUAAAAUUGAUUUCUCGCUAGAGAGAGAGAGAGAGAGAGAGAGAGAGAGAGAGAGAGAGAGAGAGAGA